AUAACGACUCUCGGCAACGGAUAUCUCGGCUCUCGCAUCGAUGAAGAACGUAGCGAAAUGCGAUACUUGGUGUGAAUUGCAGAAUCCCGUGAACCAUCGAGUCUUUGAACGCAAGUUGCGCCCGAAGCCAUCCGGUUGAGGGCACGUCUGCCUGGGCGUCACGC
RNAcentral lists this ribosomal RNA (164 nucleotides) under Streptocarpus afroviola. Its description in RNAcentral is "5.8S ribosomal RNA". It matches the Rfam family "5.8S ribosomal RNA". Rfam says of the family: 5.8S ribosomal RNA (5.8S rRNA) is a component of the large subunit of the eukaryotic ribosome. It is transcribed by RNA polymerase I as part of the 45S precursor that also contains 18S and 28S rRNA. Lineage: Eukaryota; Viridiplantae; Streptophyta; Magnoliopsida; Lamiales; Gesneriaceae. The record is from RNAcentral. RNAcentral also lists the same sequence under 1 other name.